Molecule: ribosomal RNA, 468 nt
Filed under: uncultured bacterium
Lineage: Bacteria
Description: partial 16S ribosomal RNA
Rfam family: Bacterial small subunit ribosomal RNA
Source: RNAcentral
GACGAACGCUGGCGGCGUGCUUAACACAUGCAAGUCGAACGGAAAGGCCCUGCUUUUGUGGGGUGCUCGAGUGGCGAACGGGUGAGUAACACGUGAGUAACCUGCCAUUGACUUUGGGAUAACUUCAGGAAACUGGGGCUAAUACCGGAUAGGAGCUCCUGCUGCGUGGUGGGGGUUGGAAAGUUUCGGCGGUUGGGGAUGGACUCGCGGCUUAUCAGCUUGUUGGUGGGGUAGUGGCUUACCAAGGCUUUGACGGGUAGCCGGCCUGAGAGGGUGACCGGCCACAUUGGGACUGAGAUACGGCCCAGACUCCUACGGGAGGCAGCAGUGGGGAAUAUUGCACAAUGGGCGGAAGCCUGAUGCAGCAACGCCGCGUGCGGGAUGACGGCCUUCGGGUUGUAAACCGCUUUCGCCUGUGACGAAGCGUGAGUGACGGUAAUGGGUAAAGAAGCACCGGCUAACUACGUG